Molecule: long non-coding RNA, 1344 nt
Filed under: Homo sapiens (human)
Lineage: Eukaryota; Metazoa; Chordata; Mammalia; Primates; Hominidae
Description: HSALNT0400139
Source: RNAcentral
UGGUGGCUGGGGUUCAGUCUGCCGCUGCAAAUACCAAAAGCUGUCCUCAUUGAGUCAUCCCUCCCAGAGCAGGAAGAGCAGAGGUUCUGGGAAACAACCCCAAGGAGAGAGACAGGGCAUUUAUAAAACAGCAUGUAAGCAUCUCUGCAGUUGCUGUCCCCAGAGCCCACUUCCUGGAUAUUGCCAGCUGCCUGGACCAACCUUUCCGAAAGAUCAGCCAGGUCACAGUGAGGGUCAAAGCAGGAGGCCACUGGAGGCUCCAAGGGCUCUGAAAUGUUGAGAACUUCCCUGCAGGUACCAGCGAAGAGGGCAAGAACACAGCACUACUUCCUUGGAUACUGUUUCCCUCCUCAGAGGGGUUUUCUGAGCUGCCCUGGGUCCUGUGAGGAAGAUCUCCCCUUCCUGUAAAGACACCAGUCCUACUGGAUCAGGGCCCACCCGUGUGACUUCACUUUUACUUGAGUACCUCUCACAGACCCUAACUCCAAAUCAGGUCACUUGCUGAGGUACUGCAUGUGAAGACUUUGACAUUUGAAUUUUGAGGGGGCCACCGUUUAACCUGAACCACCAAGGACAGAGCCAAAGACCCUGGGUGACAGGCCCAGAACAGGACCUGGUGGAGGCUCUUCUUUAGGGGAGAGAGGGAAAUGGGAGCCACCACUGGCAGAGCCUGAAGGCAGGGCAGCCAGAAAGAAGCUGUGGGAGUCCCCACCAUGGAAGACCCUGCCGAGCAUCCUGUGUCUCCUGAAGCAGACCCUGACAUGAGGACUGGGGGCACGUGUUUAUUAAGGGCGAUCCCCGGAAGGAGGAGAUAACCAGGCAGAAGUCCUAGCAGAGUAUGCCCACGCUGGUUAGUGCUGCUGCAAAGAUGAGCCGAAGACCAUGAGAGACCUCCAGGUGGUCCUUCUGGGGAGAAGAAAUGGGUUUUGGCCCCAAAUCCUUCUGCUGCAUUUUUCCCCUAUCCCUGGGAAGCCAUGAGACCUCAAACCUGUGUUCCCAAGGAGGCGAGCUGCUGUUCCCAGGUGAUGAUAUGAUGUGCUUGGGGAAAGUAAGUGGCUGCCAGACAUGGCUGAGAGCUGUUGUCACUGCCGUCAAGUGCAUGUCUCCAAGCCAUAUCACACGGCGUCCCUCGAUGUGAGGCCACAUGGCAAGUGGGCCGUGGAUCUCCCUCUGCCCUUUGCAAGCACGUAAGACAGCAGAUUUUGCAGAUACCUUGUGGCGCAGGGGAAUUUCCUUUGGCCAGGUCUGAAGAAAUAAAGCAGCAGGCACCGAGAACAAAGCCAAGGCUUUCAAAAGACAAGGAGCCAAAAAACUUACUCAAAAUAAAAGUAGUUUUAAAAUGUC